UUGGAGGGCAAGUCUGGUGCCAGCAGCCGCGGUAAUUCCAGCUCCAAUAGCGUAUAUUAAAGUUGUUGCAGUUAAAAAGCUCGUAGUUGAAUUUCGGGGUUAGUAGGUUGGUCGUACCACUGGUAUGUACCGGCUUUACUGAUUCCUCCUUCUUGAAGAACUGUAAUGCCAUUUAUUUGGUGCUGCAGGGAAUCAGGACUUGUUACUUUGAAAAAAUUAGAGUGUUUAAAGCAGGCUAACGCUUGAAUACAUUAGCAUGGAAUAAUAAAAUAGGACGUAACGAUCCUAUUUUGUUGGUUUCUAGGAUUGACGUAAUGAUUAAUAGGGAUAGUUGGG
This 336-nucleotide unclassified non-coding RNA is filed under the name uncultured Glomeraceae. Its description in RNAcentral is "SSU rRNA". It matches the Rfam family "Eukaryotic small subunit ribosomal RNA", at positions 548 to 886 of the family's 1831-position model. Lineage: Eukaryota; Fungi; Glomeromycota; Glomeromycetes; Glomerales; Glomeraceae. The record is from RNAcentral.